Molecule: ribosomal RNA, 253 nt
Filed under: uncultured bacterium
Lineage: Bacteria
Description: partial 16S ribosomal RNA
Rfam family: Bacterial small subunit ribosomal RNA
Source: RNAcentral
UACGUAGGGUGCAAGCGUUAAUCGGAAUUACUGGGCGUAAAGCGUGCGCAGGCGGUUUUGUAAGACAGGCGUGAAAUCCCCGGGCUCAACCUGGGAAUUGUGCUUGUGACUGCAAAGCUGGAGUGCGGCAGAGGGGGAUGGAAUUCCGCGUGUAGCAGUGAAAUGCGUAGAUAUGCGGAGGAACACCGAUGGCGAAGGCAAUCCCCUGGGCCUGCACUGACGCUCAUGCACGAAAGCGUGGGGAGCAAACAGG